GGUUAACCCAGCCUCCCUGAAAAAGUUCGGUGAGACAGCUGAAAAGUGUUUGGCUGAGUAUGGAGUUGAUAGACCUUCAAUGGGAGACGUGUUAUGGAACCUAGAAUACGCUCUUCAGCUUGAAGAAGCCUCAUCAGCGUUGACAGAGCCUGAUGAUAACAGUACGAACCAUAUCCCUGGCAUACCAUUAACACCAGUUGAGCCAUUCGACAACAGUGUUAGCAAU
This 226-nucleotide unclassified non-coding RNA is filed under the name Hevea brasiliensis (rubber tree). The record is from RNAcentral. Lineage: Eukaryota; Viridiplantae; Streptophyta; Magnoliopsida; Malpighiales; Euphorbiaceae.